AAUAUUGGACAGAUGGGCGAAAGCUUGAUACAGCCAAUGGCGAGUGAGUGAAGACGGCCAUAGGGUUGUAAAGCUCUUUCAACGGUGAAGAUUAAGUCGGUAACCGUAGAAGAAGCCCCGGCUAACUUCGUGCCAGCAGCCGCGGUAAUACGAAGGGGGGCAAGCGUUGUUCGGAAUUACUGGGGGUAAAGAGACGUAGGCGGUUUGUCAAGUCAGAUGUGAAAGCCCAGGGCUCAACCCUGGAAGUGCAUUUGAUACUGGCUCACUUGAGUGUUAGAGAGGUAAGCAGAAUUCCCAGUGUAGAGGUGAAAUUCGUAGAUAUUGGGAGGAAUACCGGUUGCGAAGGCGGCUUACUGGCUAACAACUGACGCUGAGGUACGAAAGCGUGGGGAGCAAACAGGAUUAGAUACCCUGGUAGUCCACGCCGUA
RNAcentral lists this ribosomal RNA (429 nucleotides) under uncultured marine bacterium. Its description in RNAcentral is "bacterial SSU rRNA". It matches the Rfam family "Bacterial small subunit ribosomal RNA", at positions 359 to 804 of the family's 1533-position model. The record is from RNAcentral.